This 765-nucleotide long non-coding RNA is filed under the name Gossypium raimondii (Peruvian cotton). Its description in RNAcentral is "long non-coding RNA (GRAI_LNC008837)". Lineage: Eukaryota; Viridiplantae; Streptophyta; Magnoliopsida; Malvales; Malvaceae. The record is from RNAcentral.
UGAACAUGAUUUUUGGUUUGUUCAAUAGUUUUUAGCAGUCACAACUUGCUAUUAAGUUUUGAAGAAUUCAAUGAUAAUUUUUCAAAUUUUUAGGGACCAAGAUCCCUUUUAACUCCUGUUAGUUCUACUAAGCUUUUGAAUUUCUUUUUCUCUUUGGUAAGUCGUAAGUGGAAUUGAGAUUAAUGUCAACCGAGAUUUUAACAUAAAUUAUUUGUCACUAUGCCUAUGGUUGAUUCAACUUACGUCAUAAGUGCAAAGUUUGAAGGUAUCUUUUCAUGGUUUGCUUCUGAAAAUUCAUGAUAAAUGAUAGUGCGGGUGUUAAAAUAGUUUGUUUGCAGCCCUGAUUGGCCUUUUUGGGUAGGGAUCAAGGUUUCAAGUUGAACACCAAAAAGUUGGUUUUUGGAGGAAUCUGGAUUGAGACAUAUCAGGCGCUUAGCUUUCAGUGGUUGCCCUCAUAGAUACGGCACAGGAUUCUGCUCAAACAGACUGCGCAUGGUGUCAUACACGGCACAGAUUUCUGUUCAAAGAGGCUGCGGAUAGUGUCAGCUAUCGGGUUUUGUUGGUUAUUAUGUGUUGUGUUCUUGGAAUGUGCUUCGGCAUAUCCCGGAGAAUUUUUGAGCCCUUCCUAGUUUAAAUUCAAUAUCACUACCAGUUGCAGUUGGUUUGUGUUUUUUUUUUUUCAAUGAAAAUAUUCUAAUAUAUGAAAAGCUAUUUACAAACAAUAAGAGACAAGGUUGUAAAAAAAAACGAAAGCAAAAGCUUCAA